CCUACGGGCGGCAGCAGUGAGGAAUAUUGGUCAAUGGACGAGAGUCUGAACCAGCCAAGUAGCGUGAAGGAUGACUGCCCUAUGGGUUGUAAACUUCUUUUAUAUGAGAAUAAAAUGUUCCACGUGUGGGAUUUUGUAUGUACCAUAUGAAUAAGGAUCGGCUAACUCCGUGCCAGCAGCCGCGGUAAUACGGAGGAUCCGAGCGUUAUCCGGAUUUAUUGGGUUUAAAGGGAGCGUAGGUGGAUUGUUAAGUCAGUUGUGAAAGUUUGCGGCUCAACCGUAAAAUUGCAGUUGAAACUGGCAGUCUUGAGUACAGUAGAGGUGGGCGGAAUUCGUGGUGUAGCGGUGAAAUGCUUAGAUAUCACGAAGAACUCCGAUUGCGAAGGCAGUUCACUGGACUGCAACUGACACUGAGGCUCGAAAGUGUGGGUAUCAAACAGGAUUAGAUACCCCAGUAGUC
Molecule: ribosomal RNA, 460 nt
Filed under: uncultured bacterium
Lineage: Bacteria
Description: partial 16S ribosomal RNA
Rfam family: Bacterial small subunit ribosomal RNA
Source: RNAcentral